Molecule: ribosomal RNA, 623 nt
Filed under: uncultured bacterium
Lineage: Bacteria
Description: bacterial SSU rRNA
Rfam family: Bacterial small subunit ribosomal RNA
Source: RNAcentral
CCUACGGGAGGCAGCAGUGGGGAAUAUUGGACAAUGGGCGAAAGCCUGAUCCAGCAAUACCGCGUGUGUGAAGAAGGCCUUCGGGUUGUAAAGCACUUUAAGCAGGGAAGAAAAAAUUCAAGCUAACAUCUUGAGUCUUGACGGUACCUGAAGAAUAAGCACCGGCUAACUCUGUGCCAGCAGCCGCGGUAAUACAGAGGGUGCAAGCGUUAAUCGGAUUUACUGGGCGUAAAGCGUGUGUAGGUGGUUGGGAAAGUCAAUUGUGAAAGCCCCGGGCUCAACUCGGGAACUGCUUUUGAUACUGUCUGACUAGAAUUCGGUAGAGGGAGGCGGAACUCCAGGUGUAGCGGUGAAAUGCGUAGAUAUCUGGAAGAACACCAAUGGCGAAGGCAACCUCCUGGGCCUGAAUUGACACUGAGACACGAAAGCGUGGGGAUCAAACAGGAUUAGAUACCCUGGUAGUCCACGCCGUAAACGAUGACAACUUGACGUCGGUUUGCUCUGCGAAUCGGUGUCGUAGCUAACGCGAUAAGUUGUCCGCCUGGGGAAGUACGGCCGCAAGGUUGAAACUCAAAAGAGAAGUACGCGNGAGAGAGCGACGACGACGACGACGGAGGAGGAGG